Non-coding RNA from Podarcis lilfordi (Lilford's wall lizard), 71 nucleotides. The record is from the annotation of a GenBank genome assembly. Lineage: Eukaryota; Metazoa; Chordata; Lepidosauria; Squamata; Lacertidae.
CCCGUGGCUCAGUGGAAAAACCAUCUGCUUUGCAUGCAGAUGGUUCCAGGUUCAAAUGCCCGGUGUCACGG